GGAGGGUAGACCUGGGAGUGAGUGCUUCAUUAAAAAGCAGCCAGGAAAGAGGCUGUGAGGAGGAUUAGCUUGGAUGAAUAGGAAGAUAGAAAGCACCAUUUGAUUUAUGAGCUGAAUAAAGUAACAAGUUCCCAGCCUGCAAUCCUGAAAGUAAAGGUUUAUUUUUGUUGAACUGAGCCAUCCCUUACAAAGUCAACCAUCUGAGGGAGAGAGGGAAACUGAGGCAGCAGACAGGCCUGGAGUCAGACCAGCUAUAAACUUCUGCAUGCAGUUUAAGAGAAGACAGUUGACUAACAAACAGUACUGUACUUAGGGGGAUUUCUUGAAAAUCAGCUGUAACACCAGCACAGUCAGGAUGAGCUGGUUCUUCAUCAGUAUAAUGAUGUGGAAGGUGGAAGACAAGGCCUGAUUACACAGCAGACCAUCCAUCAAUAUUCUGCAUCUCUGGGUUGCUCACCCAGCACUCAAUCACCGACCGCUGAAAUCCACUUUGCAACAGAGAGAGAUGACGGCAUCCUGUGCCACUAACGUAUGACAGGAGUCGAGAGGAAGUGAAGAAUAUCAUAGCUGAAGAGAACUCAAAGGUGGACUGGAGCUGGAAUUUAUGCCAGGCUCUACAGGAAUAGAUACUUUAGAAAUGCAUGAUUUAAUAAUCAAAAUAGGUUUGCAUAAAAAUUGCAAUGAGAACCAUAGCUCUGUUUUCAACCACAUGAAGGCAUUGGUUCAAUACUGACUUGGUUGGCCUUCAAUUGAAUUAUGCCCUGCAGCAUGGAUUUUUCUUGGAGGUUUCAUCUAUAAGUAUUGACUCCACUUUAUCUGUAAGGUUAGAUGAGUUUGCAUGACUAGAGACCCUGGGAGUAUUCUCGCGCACGCUCGCUCUCUCUCUCUCUCUCAUGCAUAUUGUGUUGACUUACAAAUGUGACCAGUCACCUGGUUUCAGUCAAUCCUUUUUGAUAUUAAGUGUUAAAAUAAAUGAAC
Chelonia mydas (Green sea turtle) is the source of this 978-nucleotide long non-coding RNA. RefSeq lists it as uncharacterized. NCBI's taxonomy places the organism in Eukaryota, Metazoa, Chordata, Testudines, Cheloniidae. The record is from RefSeq and is a predicted model, not a curated record. The transcript is spliced from 5 exons.